RNAcentral lists this transfer RNA (35 nucleotides) under Podarcis pityusensis. RNAcentral's name for it is "partial phe-tRNA". The record is from RNAcentral. Lineage: Eukaryota; Metazoa; Chordata; Lepidosauria; Squamata; Lacertidae.
UGCCGAGACGAGGAAUAAAAAAACCUCCACGGACA